AGAGUUUGAUCCUGGCUCAGGACGAACGCUGGCGGUGUGCUUCACACAUGCAAGUCGAGCGAAUGAAGUAGGUAGCUUGCUACUUAUGGAUUUAGCGGCGGACGGGUGAGUAAUAUAUAGGAAUCUGCCUUAGAGCGGGGAACAACAGACCGAAAGGUUUGCUAAUGCCCCAUAGGUAUGCAGUCUUCGGAUUGUAUAUUAAAGGAGUAAUCCACUCUAAGAUGAGCCUGUAUCCGAUUAGCUAGUUGGCGGGGCAAAGGCCCACCAAGGCUACGAUCGGUAGUUGGUCUGAGAGGAUGAUCAGCCACAAUGGGACUGAGACACGGCCCAUACUCCUACGGGAGGCAGCAGUGGGGAAUUUUACACAAUGGGGGAAACCCUGAUGUAGCGACACCGCGUGAACGAAGAAGCCUUUUGGGGUGUAAAGUUCUGUCGGCUGGAACGAAAAAAAUGACGGUACCAGCAAAGGAAGCAUCGGCUAACUACGUGCCAGCAGCCGCGGUAAGACGUAGGAUGCAAGCGUUGUCCGGAUUUAUUGGGCGUAAAGAGUUCGUAGGCGGUUAUUUAAGUCUGAUGUUAAAUACUGUGGCCCAACCACAGAACUGCAUUGGAUACUGGAUGACUUGAGUGCGGUAGAGGCAAGUGGAAUUCCCAGUGUAGCGGUGAAAUGCGUAGA
RNAcentral lists this ribosomal RNA (676 nucleotides) under uncultured bacterium. RNAcentral describes it as "bacterial SSU rRNA". It matches the Rfam family "Bacterial small subunit ribosomal RNA", at positions 8 to 694 of the family's 1533-position model. The record is from RNAcentral.